This 376-nucleotide ribosomal RNA is filed under the name uncultured eukaryote. Its description in RNAcentral is "partial 18S ribosomal RNA". It matches the Rfam family "Eukaryotic small subunit ribosomal RNA", at positions 592 to 975 of the family's 1831-position model. The record is from RNAcentral.
CAAUAGCGUAUAUUAAUGUUGUUGCAGUUAAAAAGCUCGUAGUUGGAUUUCUGAUGGGAGCCCUGGUCACUUUAACGAGUGUACUGAUGUGGCGUCCUGUCGUUUCAUGGGGAUGCUUGCUGGUAUUAAGUUAUCGGCUUGUGGAUCCAUGUCGUUUACUGUGAAAAAAUUAGAGUGUUCAAAGCAGGCCAUCGCUGUGAAUACAUUAGCAUGGAAUAAUAAGAUAGGACUGUGGUGCUAUUUUGUUGGUUUGCGUACUACGGUAAUGAUUAAUAGGGAUAGUUGGGGGUAUUCAUAUUCAAUUGUCAGAGGUGAAAUUCUUGGAUUUAUGGAAGAUGAACUACUGCGAAAGCAUUUACCAAGGAUGUUUNCAUUA